GAUGAACGCUGGCGGCGUGCCUAAUACAUGCAAGUCGAGCGGUAAGGCCUCUUCGGAGGUACACGAGCGGCGGACGGGUGAGUAACGCGUAAGAACAUACCCCAAACUGAGGGAUAACUGCUCGAAAGAGUAGCUAAUACCGCAUGUGCUCUAAGGAGUAAAGCUUCGGCGGUUUGGGAAUGGCUUGCGUCUGAUUAGCUAGUUGGUAAGGUAAUGGCUUACCAAGGCGACGAUCGGUAGCUGGUUUGAGAGGAUGAUCAGCCACACUGGGACUGAGACACGGCCCAGACUCCUACGGGAGGCAGCAGUAGGGAAUUUUCCACAAUGGGGGCAACCCUGAUGGAGCAACGCCGCGUGCAGGAUGAAGGCCUUCGGGUUGUAAACUGCUUUUGUCUGUGACGAAUAUGACGGUAGCAGACGAAUAAGGAAUCGGACUAACUACGUGU
Molecule: ribosomal RNA, 446 nt
Filed under: uncultured bacterium
Lineage: Bacteria
Description: bacterial SSU rRNA
Rfam family: Bacterial small subunit ribosomal RNA
Source: RNAcentral